Molecule: long non-coding RNA, 1106 nt
Filed under: Apteryx rowi (Okarito brown kiwi)
Lineage: Eukaryota; Metazoa; Chordata; Aves; Apterygiformes; Apterygidae
Description: lncRNA (ENSARWG00000015511.1)
Source: RNAcentral
AAAACCUCUGGAGAUAAAGUAUUUAAGGUGCCAAAUCAGCAGUGUUUCUCGUCUGCUUAGUAAGUGAUAGCUCAGCUGUUUUCCCUGGAGAUCUGAAAAUCUGGUCCCGUGCAUCACGUAGGUGCUGCGAUCUGUCCCCUGGCGCCGUUGCAUCUUGCUUCGAGUCCGCCUGCGCAGCGCGAGAGAUCCGUGGGCUGCGGUUUGAUACAAACAUCUCUCAAAAUCUUCUGAAGAAGAUUGGUGGAAAAGGCUUUUUCCAGUUUGAAAGCUGUUGCUGCGACCGUGCCUUUUCCUGCCCGCUCCGAGGCUCUCCGCAGGCUGGGAGCGAUCGCCUCGGACCGCGCCGCUGCAGCCCGGAGGCGGCAGGGUCCCCUCCAGGGGCUCGUUCCUGGCACCGACGGCCCCGCUCGCCCCAUGCCUACGCGCAGAGGAUGCAGCAAAUUGCCAUCGUGAAAAAGCCAAACCAAGAAGGAAAAACACCCCCCGCCUCCCGCCACCCUCCCGCCCCAUCGCAUGGAGUUUUGCGAGAGCGUUUGAGCAUCGCAAGAGUUAAACGCGAGGGGGGACGCGUGCGGAUCUGUAUUACCCGGCAGAAUAGCUGCGGCGGCGGUGUCUGCCAGCGCGUUCGCAGCUUUGCCUAGCCUCAUUAGCACCUUGCAGCAAGGCAGAGCUUAUUCAAACUAUGUCACAAGUCUUUUGCUUUAGAUUGCAUCUGUGCCUAAUAUGCAUUUUUAUAUAAACAAGGAUGCUAAAUGGCCUUUCGGUUCCUCUGUAAUGUCUUUUUUAAUGGAAGGUCCUGAAUUAAGAACAUGUAUAUAUGACUCUAAGAAUUUUCUAAGUGAUAUUGAAAACCUAUUGUAAAGUAGGAUUUCUUCUUGCAAAAUUAUUUUAAUGAGGUUCCAGUUUAUUUUCUGGCUAUAUUUUACUUAUUUAAUCCUCCAGAGGGGUUUUUCAGAGGCAGCAUCUCAUUUCCGAUGCAACUAUUCUUAGCAUUAGGGAAAACUACCUUUCUGAAAUGCAUGAAGGGAAGAAAAAAAAAAAAAGAACCAGAGGAAGAUGUACGAGAUAAGAAUAAACUUGAAAAGCUUUGAGGUGGUUUAUGGCUU